This 439-nucleotide ribosomal RNA is filed under the name uncultured bacterium. Its description in RNAcentral is "partial 16S ribosomal RNA". It matches the Rfam family "Bacterial small subunit ribosomal RNA", at positions 338 to 795 of the family's 1533-position model. The record is from RNAcentral.
CCUACGGGGGGCUGCAGUGGGGAAUAUUGCACAAUGGGGGAAACCCUGAUGCAGCAACGCCGCGUGAGUGAUGACGGCCUUCGGGUUGUAAAGCUCUUUUUUCAGGGACGAUAAUGACGGUACCUGAGGCGGAAGCGACGGCGAACUGCGUGCCAGCAGCCGCGGUACUAGGUAGGUGGCGCGCGUUGUCCGGGUUUACUGGGCGUAGGGGGAGCGUAGGCGGAGUUUUAAGUGAGAUGUGAAAUACUCGGGCUAAAUUUGAGUGCUGCAUUUCAAACGGGAAGUCUGGAGUGGAGGGGAGGAGAAUGGAAUUGUAGUGUAGCGGUGAAAUGCAUAGAGAUUAGGAAGAACACCGGUGGCGAAGGCGAUUCUCUGGACUGUAACUGACGCUGAGGCACGAAAGCGUGGGGAGCAAACAGGAUUAGAUACCCUGGUAGUC